AUAACAUUAAAACUUUCCCCAGAAAUUUGAGUACACGAAACAAUUAUUGCAGCAAGAACAAUUGUUCCUGUACUAGUAGGAUAACAACAACAUCAUAAGCAGAAAGCUGUUACACAGAGCAGCUACAACAUUUUCAUAAUUUUAAGACAAACUAAAAGUUCUCCUAUAGCAUAACAUUCUAAGACACAUCUAACUUCUUACCACCACCACCAUCCAUUUACACUUGGACAAUGAAACAACAAGAUAUAAGAUCCAAAUGUCGGGUUACAACAAUUUGGUCACGAUUUGUUUUAAGAUACAGUGCGUCCAUAGCAUAGACAAGAAAGAUACAGAUUCUUUCCCCAUUUUUCCUUAACAUGUGUGCUGGGAAACUGAGAUGUUCGCAGAGUUUCUUGAGUCUCAUCACCAGGUCUUCGGCGAGGUACACUCAGGAUAAGAGCAGCUUGGUCUGGCGUAGCAGCUGUUGCCGUAAUACGAUAACCAUUAUCCCACCUCUUAUGAAUACCCUCACUAGGAUAAAGGAAAUCAAGCUCUACCACCUGAUCACUGAAGCCUGAAUUGCGUGACAUAACAACAGCCCACCUAGUGUUAGCAGUUGCCAUGGAGGUCACAUGGAACCCUUCUUUCCAUUUCUUGCUUAUCCACUUGAAGGGAAAUGACUCACUGACUUUAUAAGACUGUUGAGUGAACUGUGUGCCUUUUGACAUUACUACUAAAGAGGCUCCAUUUAUGCCACCAGCAAGAGAACUAAUAUAAUAGUUUUUCUCCCAUUGCUCCAUAAUCCACUCCUUGUGUAAGAAGAAAGGUGACAGCUCAUAAACUUGGCUAGUGAAGUUCGUUCCAGCAUCCAUGAUGAUAGCCCAUAAGCUAGAACAUGAUGCUACACAACUUAUAGACAAACCAUCCACAGACCCUUUCUCCACAUGCUGUGCCAAUCUUGUGUCUGCUACAUUGUAAUGGUACCUCUGUUUCAUCGGCUUUCUGGCAUUAUAUAUUGAAAUCCAUUGCGUCGCAGGAACACCGAUUCGAAUUUUCUUCUGAGGCUGCUCUUCUUCCUCAUUUAAAGUUAGUCUCCCCCGCUUUUGGCCAACUUGAAUAGCCUUUUGAGCACCAUCUGUGUUGAUCGGCCUUAUAGCAGGAUCAGCUCCAAGCAAGCUCCCAAAUAAAGAGAUUAACUUUGAAUAUUUCGGUUCUUCAUCAAACUUCAUGUUAAUUACUGUAUCAAGAAAUUCUCUAAAAGGUGCAGGGCAGAAGCAACAAAGCAUCUCUGGAGAUGUUGCCAUCUUUUUUUUACAGACUAAAAAUGAUUUGUUAUCACCCUGAUAGCCCUGCCAUGGGAGCCUGCCUCGAUGAAGAAAAAUUAGUGUAUAUGCAAGUGAUUCCAAAUCAUCUCUUCUACUGGCAGUCCUUCCCAAGUGAGCAUGUGCACUUGCAUAGCGAACAGUCCCUCUGAACGUGUCAGGACGCUGAUCAUAUCCGACAUGCUGCCCUUUUGAAGUGUCUUUCCACUUUGUGGCCAGUCCCAAGUCAACUAGGAACAACUUCUUCUCUUGUGGUGUUGAUGGCUGGCCAAGUAAAAAGUUUUCUGGCUUCACAUCUCCAUGAACAUAACCUUUCGCAUGCAGCUUUUCCAAAAUCGACAAUGACUCAACUGCAAUACAAGCCACCAUUUCUGCUGACAUUGAUUGCCCAGAGGAAUUCCAUACAUCCCAUAAGCUAGGCCCUAGCAUGUCCAUAACCAUUACGUAAUAGUCUCCUACCCUCCCUUUAUAAUGCACGCUAGGCACUCCAUGGCUGCCUCCAAGAGUAUUGUAAACUUGCCACUCAUGUGGAGGACCAUAGUUACAGCCUUUGCUUUUCAUAUGCUCAAAUUUCAGUGCAACCUCAACAGCCCCUUGACCAUUUGAAGAUUCAUUUCCACCAGAAAGACGACGACCCAAAAAGACCUGACCAAACCCACCUUUACCUAACUUCCUUUCAACCUGAUAAACUGGCGACAUUCCUACUUUCACCUUUUUAGGGAUAGGAGAGUUUUUACCAUCAUCAUCUUGCUCAGUUCCUUUGUUAUUAGCACUCAACCCACCGCUCUGAUCCCCCAUUUCCUCUUCAACUCUUCUGCUUUUGCCUUAGCAGCACAGGUCUUUACGAAACUUCUUCCCUUCCCGCUGGCUGCUGGUUUUUCAACACCUACAGGCAUUAGCGUUCUUUACAAACAAUGCAAGUAGAACAAAACCCAAAGUGACCAUCAUCAAUACAAAAUUGAUCGUUUGAAUUCUUCAACAAGUUUUCAACAGCGAUCGAAACAAAUAGAAAGAUGAAUGAGCAGUAAGAUUAAAGAGGUCUUGAUGCUAGGGUUUGUUGAAGAAACAUCCAAAAGAAAU
This 2381-nucleotide unclassified non-coding RNA is filed under the name Hevea brasiliensis (rubber tree). Lineage: Eukaryota; Viridiplantae; Streptophyta; Magnoliopsida; Malpighiales; Euphorbiaceae. The record is from RNAcentral.